This 401-nucleotide ribosomal RNA is filed under the name uncultured Eubacteriales bacterium. Its description in RNAcentral is "uncultured Clostridiales bacterium partial 16S ribosomal RNA". It matches the Rfam family "Bacterial small subunit ribosomal RNA", at positions 355 to 774 of the family's 1533-position model. Lineage: Bacteria; Bacillati; Bacillota; Clostridia; Eubacteriales. The record is from RNAcentral.
UGGGGAAUAUUGCGCAAUGGAGGGAACUCUGACGCAGCAACGCCGCGUGAAGGAAGAAGGAUUUCGGUUCGUAAACUUCAGACGCUAAAGAAGAUAAUGACGGUAUUUAGGCCGGAGCCCCGGCUAACUACGUGCCAGCAGCCGCGGUAAUACGUAGGGGGCAAGCGUUAUCCGGAAUUACUGGGCGUAAAGGGUGAGUAGGCGGUUAUGUAAGUCAUAUGUGAAAGGCUGAGGCUCAACCUCAGAAUUGCAUAAGAAACUACAUAACUUGAGUACAGGAGAGGUAAGCGGAAUUCCUAGUGUAGCGGUGAAAUGCGUAGAUAUUAGGAAGAACACCAGUGGCGAAGGCGGCUUACUGGACUGUAACUGACGCUGAGGCACGAAAGCGUGGGGAGCGAACA